This 411-nucleotide ribosomal RNA is filed under the name uncultured soil bacterium. RNAcentral's name for it is "bacterial SSU rRNA". It matches the Rfam family "Bacterial small subunit ribosomal RNA", at positions 27 to 455 of the family's 1533-position model. The record is from RNAcentral.
GGAACGAACGCUGGCGGCAUGCCUAAUACAUGCAAGUCGAACGAACACUUCGGUGUUAGUGGCGCACGGGUGCGUAACGCGUGGGAAUCUGCCCUUGGGUUCGGAAUAACAGUUGGAAACGACUGCUAAUACCGGAUGAUAUCGAAAGAUCAAAGAUUUAUCGCCCAGGGAUGAGCCCGCGUAGGAUUAGCUAGUUGGUGAGGUAAAGGCUCACCAAGGCGACGAUCCUUAGCUGGUCUGAGAGGAUGAUCAGCCACACUGGGACUGAGACACGGCCCAGACUCCGUACGGGAGCAGCAGGUAGGGAAUAGUGGACAAGUGGGCACGAAGCCUAGACUCCGAGCAAUGCCGCGUGAGUGAGUGAAGGUCCGUUAGGGUUAGUAAGUCUUACCUUUUACCGAGUAUAGAUAA